Prosopis cineraria is the source of this 78-nucleotide small nucleolar RNA. RefSeq annotates it as small nucleolar RNA R160. The record is from RefSeq and is a predicted model, not a curated record. Lineage: Eukaryota; Viridiplantae; Streptophyta; Magnoliopsida; Fabales; Fabaceae. The transcript has a single exon.
AGCAAAAUGAUGAGGAUUUUAUGUCCAAACGUGAUGUGGAAUCAAUGAUCCAUUAGCUUUCAAAGUCCUCUGAUUGCU